GCCGCGGUAGCUCAGUUGGUAGAGCCUCGGACGCAUUAUUCGAAGGUCGCAGGUUCGGUUCCUGCCCGCGGCA
RNAcentral lists this transfer RNA (73 nucleotides) under Rhipicephalus sanguineus (brown dog tick). Its description in RNAcentral is "transfer RNA methionine (anticodon CAU)". It matches the Rfam family "tRNA". From Rfam's summary of the family: Transfer RNA (tRNA) molecules are approximately 80 nucleotides in length. Their secondary structure includes four short double-helical elements and three loops (D, anti-codon, and T loops). The record is from Rfam by way of RNAcentral. Lineage: Eukaryota; Metazoa; Arthropoda; Arachnida; Ixodida; Ixodidae.